UGAACGCCGGCGGCGUGCCUAAUACAUGCAAGUCGAGCGAACAGACGAGGAGCUUGCUCCUCUGACGUUAGCGGCGGACGGGUGAGUAACACGUGGAUAACCUACCUAUAAGACUGGGAUAACUUCGGGAAACCGGAGCUAAUACCGGAUAAUAUAUUGAACCGCAUGGUUCAAUAGUGAAAGACGGUUUUGCUGUCACUUAUAGAUGGAUCCGCGCCGCAUUAGCUAGUUGGUAAGGUAACGGCUUACCAAGGCAACGAUGCGUAGCCGACCUGAGAGGGUGAUCGGCCACACUGGAACUGAGACACGGUCCAGACUCCUACGGGAGGCAGCAGUAGGGAAUCUUCCGCAAUGGGCGAAAGCCUGACGGAGCAACGCCGCGUGAGUGAUGAAGGUCUUCGGAUCGUAAAACUCUGUUAUUAGGGAAGAACAAAUGUGUAAGUAACUAUGCACGUCUUGACGGUACCUAAUCAGAAAGCCACGGCUAACUACGUGCCAGCAGCCGCGGUAAUACGUAGGUGGCAAGCGUUAUCCGGAAUUAUUGGGCGUAAAGCGCGCGUAGGCGGUUUUUUAAGUCUGAUGUGAAAGCCCACGGCUCAACCGUGGAGGGUCAUUGGAAACUGGAAAACUUGAGUGCAGAAGAGGAAAGUGGAAUUCCAUGUGUAGCGGUGAAAUGCGCAGAGAUAUGGAGGAACACCAGUGGCGAAGGCGACUUUCUGGUCUGUAACUGACGCUGAUGUGCGAAAGCGUGGGGAUCAAACAGGAUUAGAUACCCUGGUAGUCCACGCCGUAAACGAUGAGUGCUAAGUGUUAAGGGGGUUUCCGCCCCUUAGUGCUGCAGCUAACGCAUUAAGCACUCCGCCUGGGGGAGUACGACCGCAAGGUUGAAACUCAAAGGAAUUGACGGGGACCCGCACAAGCGGUGGAACAUGUGGUUUAAUUCGAAGCAACGCGAAGAACCUUACCAAAUCUUGACAUCCUCUGACCCCUCUUGAGAUAGAGUUUUCCCCUUCGGGGGAC
This 1020-nucleotide ribosomal RNA is filed under the name Staphylococcus epidermidis. RNAcentral's name for it is "bacterial SSU rRNA". It matches the Rfam family "Bacterial small subunit ribosomal RNA", at positions 30 to 1027 of the family's 1533-position model. The record is from RNAcentral. Lineage: Bacteria; Bacillati; Bacillota; Bacilli; Caryophanales; Staphylococcaceae.